This 462-nucleotide ribosomal RNA is filed under the name Lancefieldella rimae. RNAcentral's name for it is "bacterial SSU rRNA". It matches the Rfam family "Bacterial small subunit ribosomal RNA", at positions 28 to 500 of the family's 1533-position model. Lineage: Bacteria; Bacillati; Actinomycetota; Coriobacteriia; Coriobacteriales; Atopobiaceae. The record is from RNAcentral.
GAUGAACGCUGGCGGCGCGCCUAACACAUGCAAGUCGAACGGUUAAAGCACCUUUUAGGUGUGUAUAAAGUGGCGAACGGCUGAGUAACACGUGGGCAACCUGCCCUCCUCUUGGGGAUAGCCUCGGGAAACCGAGGAUAAUACCCGAUACUUCAAUGUGCCGCAUGGCGACAUUGAGAAAGCUUUUGCGGAGAAGGAUGGGCCCGCGGCCUGUUAGCUUGUUGGUGGGGUAGAGGCCUACCAAGGCAAUGAUGGGUAGCUGGGUUGAGAGACCGACCAGCCAGAUUGGGACUGAGACACGGCCCAGACUCCUACGGGAGGCAGCAGUGGGGAAUCUUGCACAAUGGGCGAGAGCCUGAUGCAGCGACGCCGCGUGCGGGACGAAGGCCUUCGGGUUGUAAACCGCUUUGCAGCAGGGACGAGGCGAUAAGUGACGGUACCUGCAGAAGAAGCCCCGGCUAA